GGAGAGGUGGCAGAGUGGUCGAAUGCGGCAGACUCGAAAUCUGUUGAGGGGCCUAGCUCCUCCGAGGGUUCGAAUCCCUCCUUCUCCGCCA
RNAcentral lists this transfer RNA (91 nucleotides) under Alphaproteobacteria bacterium. RNAcentral describes it as "tRNA-Ser". It matches the Rfam family "tRNA". Rfam says of the family: Transfer RNA (tRNA) molecules are approximately 80 nucleotides in length. Their secondary structure includes four short double-helical elements and three loops (D, anti-codon, and T loops). The record is from RNAcentral. Lineage: Bacteria; Pseudomonadati; Pseudomonadota; Alphaproteobacteria.